GGGGGGAGCAAGCGUUGUUCGGAUUUACUGGGCGUAAAGGGCGCGUAGGCGGCCAGCGCAAGUCAGUUGUGAAAUCUCCGGGCUUAACUCGGAACGGUCAACUGAUACUGCGCGGCUAGAGUGCAGAAGGGGCAACUGGAAUUCUCGGUGUAGCGGUGAAAUGCGUAGAUAUCGAGAGGAACACCUGCGGCGAAGGCGGGUUGCUGGGCUGACACUGACGCUGAGGCGCGAAAGCCAGGGGAGCGAACGGGAUUAGAUACCCCGGUAGUCCUGGCCUUAAACGAUGGAUGCUUGGUGUCUGGAGUUUUAUAGUCUCCGGGUGCCGUAGCUAACGCGUUAAGCAUCCCGCCUGGGGAGUACGGUCGCAAGACUGAA
RNAcentral lists this ribosomal RNA (375 nucleotides) under uncultured bacterium. RNAcentral describes it as "bacterial SSU rRNA". It matches the Rfam family "Bacterial small subunit ribosomal RNA", at positions 527 to 898 of the family's 1533-position model. The record is from RNAcentral.